AGAAUCAACGCUGGCGGCGUGCCUAACACAUGCAAGUCGAACGAGAAAGUGGAGCAAUCCAUGAGUAAAGUGGCGACCGGGUGAGUAACACGUGACUAACCUACCUUCGAGUGGGGGAUAACCUCGGGAAAACCGGGGCUAAUACCGCAUAAUAUCCACGGAUCAAAGGAGCAAUUCGCUUGAAGAGGGGGUCGCGGCUGAUUAGUUAGUUGGCGGGGUAAUGGCCCACCAAGACAAUGAUCGGUAGCCGGCCUGAGAGGGCGCACGGCCACACUGGAACUGAAACACGGUCCAGACUCCUACGGGAGGCAGCAGUGGGAUUUGCGCAAUGGGGGAAACCCUGACGCAGCAACGCCGCGUGGAGGAUGAAGUCCCUUGGGACGUAAACUCCUUUCGACUGGGAAGAUAAUGACGGUACCAGUGGAAGAAGCCCCGGCUAACUUCGUGCCAGCAGCCGC
This 458-nucleotide ribosomal RNA is filed under the name uncultured bacterium. RNAcentral describes it as "SSU rRNA". It matches the Rfam family "Bacterial small subunit ribosomal RNA", at positions 26 to 518 of the family's 1533-position model. The record is from RNAcentral.